Molecule: ribosomal RNA, 253 nt
Filed under: uncultured bacterium
Lineage: Bacteria
Description: partial 16S ribosomal RNA
Rfam family: Bacterial small subunit ribosomal RNA
Source: RNAcentral
UACGUAGGGUGCAAGCGUUAAUCGGAAUUACUGGGCGUAAAGGGUACGCAGGCGGCUAGGAAAGAAAGAUGUGAAAUCCCAGGGCUCAACCUUGGAACUGCAUUUUUAACUACCUAGCUAGAGUAUGUCAGAGGGGGGUAGAAUUCCACGUGUAGCAGUGAAAUGCGUAGAGAUGUGGAGGAAUACCGAUGGCGAAGGCAGCCCCCUGGGAUAAUACUGACGCUCAGGUACGAAAGCGUGGGGAGCAAACAGG